ACCACACUAAUUUUGAUUAGAAAAAGUGGAUUGUCUAUAGGAGUUUUUUGACUCAAUCCACCACAUUAAAUCUAGAAAUCAUAUAACAAGUGUUUUUACAUAAUCCAAGCAAUCACAAUACUACAUUUGGAUCAACACGUAGAUCCAUCAUUUUAGAUAACAUUACAAGGAAAUAAGAUAUCCUAACUAAGCCUAGAAAUCACUUUUUCCACCAAAAUUUACAGGGUAAAAAAACCUAGCCAUGUGAGGAUCUAAGCAAGCUAAUGCAACAAAGAUCUUCUUAGAUUGCAACACCAUCUUUUAUAGCUUCACUUGAAGCAACAAAAGUCUUCUAGCUACAAGUAUUUAGAUGGAAUAUGA
This 360-nucleotide long non-coding RNA is filed under the name Medicago truncatula (barrel medic). RNAcentral describes it as "long non-coding RNA (MTRU_LNC008522)". Lineage: Eukaryota; Viridiplantae; Streptophyta; Magnoliopsida; Fabales; Fabaceae. The record is from RNAcentral.